This is a long non-coding RNA of Vespa velutina, 449 nucleotides long. RefSeq lists it as uncharacterized. The transcript has 2 exons. NCBI's taxonomy places the organism in Eukaryota, Metazoa, Arthropoda, Insecta, Hymenoptera, Vespidae. The record is from RefSeq and is a predicted model, not a curated record.
CACCGUGUAAUCCGGUUCUUUAUACGGCACUACGAUGCCAUUCGGAUGGAAUCUAUGAAGCGUGCACUUAGAAAAGCAGCAACUGCACUAUACCUAGUGUGGUGCCCCGUGCGACUAUCUUGAAAAGGGGAUUGAAAAAGGAAGAGAAUAUGUAUGUAUGUGGAAAUGGAAGACCGGUGAUUAAUACAGCUCUACCAUUGGCAUUGGCAAAGUCUAAACCUUCGCUUACUUUUCCUCUACAUACGGCCAUAAAAAUGGCACCUUUACACGAUGGAUCUUGUAUCUUUUGAUAAUAUUCAUGCAUAACAUUUAGAAAACCAUCUUUAGAUUUGGGCUCCACAUAUAUGGACUGUUCAUCAAUGGAAAUUAAUAUAAGAGAAUAUUAAUUAAUAAUAAUAUGUAAAAAUUUAUAUGCGAUAAAAAAUUAAGAUAGUUAUUCUUUUUCAUUA